UGGAAUUCUUUCCUGGGCAAAGACAAGAGCCCUUCCACGCUAAGCACCCAUUCUGUGGCUCACCUGUCCUGUAACAUCUGACGACCAUGAAGAGACAAAGAUGAUUCAACUAUUGCUCUGUCUUACUGCUUUCAGCUCUUUCUCCCUUUAAAAAGGCCUGGGACGCUGGUUCUCUCCUUCAGCUCUUUCAUCAGCUCCUGUGAUUCUGACUGUCGUGGCCUGAUGGACAUGAAGGAUGAGCUGCAAGGAAGAUGAUCAAGAUCACACAACUCGGGAAAGGAAAAAGUAGAGCUGAAAUUUCCAUCGCUG
Molecule: long non-coding RNA, 309 nt
Organism: Cercocebus atys (sooty mangabey)
Lineage: Eukaryota; Metazoa; Chordata; Mammalia; Primates; Cercopithecidae
Exons: 3
Source: RefSeq, a predicted model, not a curated record